RNAcentral lists this ribosomal RNA (416 nucleotides) under uncultured bacterium. RNAcentral describes it as "bacterial SSU rRNA". It matches the Rfam family "Bacterial small subunit ribosomal RNA", at positions 355 to 787 of the family's 1533-position model. The record is from RNAcentral.
UGGGGAAUAUUGGACAAUGGGCGCAAGCCUGAUCCAGCAAUGCCGCGUGAGUGAAGAAGGCCUUAGGGUUGUAAAGCUCUUUCGGCGGGGACGAUGAUGACGGUACCCGCAGAAGAAGCCCCGGCUAACUCCGUGCCAGCAGCCGCGGUAAUACGGAGGGGGCUAGCGUUGUUCGGAAUUACUGGGCGUAAAGGGCGCGUAGGCGGCGCGAUAAGUUGGGCGUGAAAGGCCCGGGCUCAACCCGGGGACUGCGCUUGAUACUGUCGCGCUGUGAGUCCGGGAGAGGAUGGCGGAAUUCCCAGUGUAGAGGUGAAAUUCGUAGAUAUUGGGAAGAACACCGGUGGCGAAGGCGGCCAUCUGGACCGGCACUGACGCUGAGACGCGAAAGCGUGGGGAGCAAACAGGAUUAGAUACCC